GCGUAUAUUAAGUUGUUGCAGUUAAAACGCUCGUAGUCGGGUUUCGGGUCGGGCCGAGCGGUCUGCCGAUGGGUAUGCACUGUUUGGCGCGGCCUUCUUUCCGGAGACCGCGGCUACUCUUAACUGAGCGGGCGUGGGAGACGGAUCGUUUACUUUGAAAAAAUCAGAGUGUUUCAAGCAGGCAGCUCGCUCUUGCAUGGUACAGCAUGGGAUGAUUGAAUAGGACUCCGGUGCUAUUUUGUUGGUUUCGAACACCAGGAGUAAUGAUUAACAGGGACAGUCAGGGGCACUCGUAUUCCGUCGAGAGAGGUGAAAUUCUCAGACCAAUGGAAGACGAACCACUGCGAAAGCAUUUGCCAGGGAUGUUUUCACUGAUCAAGAACGAAAGUUAGGGGAUCGAAGACGAUCAGAUACCGUCGUAGUCUUAACCAUAAACCAUGCCGACUAGGGAUUGGAGGGUGUUCGUUUCGACCUCUUCAGCACCUUACGGGAAACUAAAGUCUUUGGGUUCCGGGGGGAGUAUGGUCGCAAGGCUGAAACUUAAAGGAAUUGACGGAAGGGCACCACCAGGAGUGGAGCCUGCGGCUUAAUUUGACUCAACACGGGGAAACUUACCAGGUCCAGACAUUGUUAGGAUUGACAGAUUGAGAGCUCUUUCUUGAUUCGAUGGGUGGUGGUGCAUGGCCGUUCUUAGUUGGUGGAGUGAUUUGUCUGGUUA
Molecule: ribosomal RNA, 718 nt
Filed under: uncultured eukaryote
Lineage: Eukaryota
Description: SSU rRNA
Rfam family: Eukaryotic small subunit ribosomal RNA
Source: RNAcentral